Molecule: unclassified non-coding RNA, 220 nt
Filed under: plant metagenome
Description: partial contains small subunit ribosomal RNA, internal transcribed spacer 1, and 5.8S ribosomal RNA
Source: RNAcentral
UUUCCGUAGGUGAACCUGCGGAAGGAUCAUUACAGAGUUCAUGCCCUCACGGGUAGAUCUCCCACCCUUGAAUAUUUAUACCUUAGUUGCUUUUGCAGGCCGUGGAAACACCAUGGGCUCCGGCUUAUGCGUGCCUGCCAGAGGAAACAAACUCUGUUUUUAGUGAUGUCUGAGUACUAUAUAAUAGUUAAAACUUUCAACAACGGAUCUCUUGGUUCUG